GAGCGGCGAACGGGUGAGUAACACGUGGGUAACCUGCCCUGUACUCUGGGAUAAGCCUGGGAAACUAGGUCUAAUACCGGAUAUGACCUGCCUCUGCAUGGGGGUGGGUGGAAAGUUCCGGCGGUACAGGAUGGACCCGCGGCCUAUCAGCUUGUUGGUGGGGUAAUGGCCUACCAAGGCGACGACGGGUAGCCGGCCUGAGAGGGUGACCGGCCACACUGGGACUGAGACACGGCCCAGACUCCUACGGGAGGCAGCAGUGGGGAAUAUUGCACAAUGGGCGAAAGCCUGAUGCAGCGACGCCGCGUGAGGGAUGACGGCCUUCGGGUUGUAAACCUCUUUCAGCGGGGACGAAGGGCAACUGACGGUACCCGCAGAAGAAGCACCGGCUAACUACGUGCCAGCAGCCGCGGUAAUACGUAGGGUGCGAGCGUUGUCCGGAAUUAUUGGGCGUAAAGAGCUCGUAGGCGGUUUGUUGCGUCGGCUGUGAAAACUUCACGCUUAACGUGGAGCCUGCAGUCGAUACGGGCAGACUUGAGUUCGGCAGGGGAGACUGGAAUUCCUGGUGUAGCGGUGAAAUGCGCAGAUAUCAGGAGGAACACCGGUGGCGAAGGCGGGUCUCUGGGCCGAUACUGACGCUG
This 641-nucleotide ribosomal RNA is filed under the name Saccharothrix sp. I12A-02565. RNAcentral describes it as "bacterial SSU rRNA". It matches the Rfam family "Bacterial small subunit ribosomal RNA", at positions 93 to 748 of the family's 1533-position model. The record is from RNAcentral. Lineage: Bacteria; Bacillati; Actinomycetota; Actinomycetes; Pseudonocardiales; Pseudonocardiaceae.